UACGUAGGGCGCAAGCGUUGUCCGGAAUUAUUGGGCGUAAAGAGCUCGUAGGCGGUUUGUCGCGUCUGCUGUGAAAACUCGAGGCUCAACCCCGGGCCUGCAGCCGAUACGGGCAGCUAGAAUUCGGUAGGGGAGACUGGAAUUCCUGGUGUAGCGGUGAAAUGCGCAGAUAUCAGGAGGAACACCGGUGGCGAAGGCGGGUCUCUGGGCCGAAAUUGACGCUGAGGAGCGAAAGCGUGGGGAGCAAACAGG
This 252-nucleotide ribosomal RNA is filed under the name uncultured bacterium. RNAcentral's name for it is "partial 16S ribosomal RNA". It matches the Rfam family "Bacterial small subunit ribosomal RNA", at positions 524 to 776 of the family's 1533-position model. The record is from RNAcentral.